RNAcentral lists this ribosomal RNA (745 nucleotides) under uncultured bacterium. RNAcentral describes it as "bacterial SSU rRNA". It matches the Rfam family "Bacterial small subunit ribosomal RNA", at positions 754 to 1504 of the family's 1533-position model. The record is from RNAcentral.
CGAAAGCGUGGGGAGCAAACAGGAUUAGAUACCCUGGUAGUCCACGCCCUAAACGAUGUCAACUGGUUGUUGGACGGCUUGCUGUUCAGUAACGAAGCUAACGCGUGAAGUUGACUGCCUGGGGAGUACGGCCGCAAGGUUGAAACUCAGAGGAAUUGACGGGGACCCGCACAAGCGGUGGAUGAUGUGGUUUAAUUCGAUGCAACGCGAAAAACCUUACCUACCCUUGACAUGUCUGGAAUCCCGAAGAGAUUUGGGAGUGCUCGAAAGAGAACCAGAACACAGGUGCUGCAUGGCCGUCGUCAGCUCGUGUCGUGAGAUGUUGGGUUAAGUCCCGCAACGAGCGCAACCCUUAUCAAUAGUUGCUACGCAAGGGCACUCUAUUGAGACUGCCGGUGACAAACCGGAGGAAGGUGGGGAUGACGUCAGGUCAUCAUGGCCCUUAUGGGUAGGGCUACACACGUCAUACAAUGGCCGGUACAGAGGGCUGCCAACCCGCGAGGGGGAGCUAAUCUCAGAAAACCGGUCGUAGUCCGGAUCGCAGUCUGCAACUCGACUGCGUGAAGUCGGAAUCGCUAGUAAUCGCGGAUCAGCUUGCCGCGGUGAAUACGUUCCCGGGUCUUGUACACACCGCCCGUCACACCAUGGGAGCGGGUUCUGCCAGAAGUAGUUAGCCUAACCGCAAGGGGGGCGAUUACCACGGCAGGGUUCGUGACUGGGGUGAAGUCGUAACAAGGUAGCCGUA